Bos taurus (domestic cattle) is the source of this 1697-nucleotide long non-coding RNA. NCBI's taxonomy places the organism in Eukaryota, Metazoa, Chordata, Mammalia, Artiodactyla, Bovidae. The record is from Ensembl.
GGGCUGGUUUGUCGUUUGUCUGCUAGUGAUGUGUGGGACUCUCCUCACUUCACUUCCCUUCGUCCCUCUUCAAGGGUUUCUCUUGUGAUCUCUGCCCAUCUCCCAACAACCUUUCCCUCUCUCAGUACAGCUGCUGAUUUCAAAAUGCUGAGCCCUCUUCUGUAGGAGCCUGUCCCCCUAUCAUAGCUGAUGGAUGGGGUUGGAUGCCUGACCCAAAUUAGCCAAUCAGAGUUUCUCUCCUGAGAAUGUAAAGAGGGACAGAGAUAGGUGGGGACCAAAAGUUAUGGGAGCUGAGCCCUGUGUGGUAGGCAGAAUUUUACAUAGGGCACGUGUAAUAUGAUGAGAAGCUGAGCUUCUCACUCCCACAAUUGCUGUGUUACUUGGCAGGGUUGACCUUAAGAUAAAAGACUCUCAGGUGAGCCUGAUCUAGUCAUCUGGUUCUUUCAAAGCAGCAGGAGUCAGAUUUGAAGCACGAGGGACUUUGCUGGCUUGAAGAUGGAGGGGGUCAUAGGGGAAGAAAGUGCUGUGGCUUCUAGGAGCUGACGGAGUUUCCCAGCUGAGAGCCAUUGAGGAAGUGGACACCUCAAUCUUAUAAUCACAAGGACGUGAUUCAGCCAACAACCUGAAGGAGCUUAGAAGUGGACUUUCCCCUCAAGCUUCCAGAGAAGACCCCAGCAUGGCUGACACCUUGGCUUUGGUCUUGAGCAGAGGACAAAGUUGAGCUGUGCCAGACUUCUGACCUACAGAACUGUCCCUGCUGCUGCUGCUACUGCUGCUAAGUCGCUUCAGUCGUGUCCGACUCUGCAACCCCAUAGACAGCAGCCCACCAGGCUCCCCCGUCCCUGGGAUUCUCCAAGCAAGAACACUGGAAUCCCAUUUAGUGAAUCCUGCUUGCUCUACCUUCAGGAUAUAUCCAGCUGCUGCCCCUGCCAUCCUGUCCAGGCCAUUGCCACCUCUUGUCUGAAUCAUCACAGAGCCUCUAACACGUCUCCCUUCAUCCUUUUGCCCCUGACACGGUGGAGAAGAGACCAAACAGCUGCCAGAGAUCCUCAGCAUGGCGCCCUGGGGCACCGAGGACGCGUGUGCUGCUGUGAAAGCAGAAGCCAGAAUUCUCAUGAUGACUUCAGGGCCCCCUGUGACUCGGCCCCUACGUCCUUCUCUUCAUGCCCUCGCACACUUCUCACCUCUCAUUCUAUUCCAGCCACAGGGGUCUGGCUUCCGUUCCCUGAACUCUCAUGCCCUGAGGCCUUUGCACUCGCUGUCCCUUCUGCCCACACUGCUCUUCUCUAGGGUAUCUGACAGCUCACUCCCUCACCUCUUUCAGGGCUUUCAAAUGCCACCUUCCUCAUGGAGCCUUCCUGGUCAUUCUAUUCAUAAUUUCUCCCCUAAUGGAAACCCUUCACCCCACUAUGUCCCUGAUUUCAUUUUCUCUUUAGAACUUAUGAUGAUCUGACAUACAUAUUUAUAUUAUAUAUUUUAUAUACUUAUUGUGUUGAUUGUCUUUUUCCUGCACAAGAAUAUGAAGUCUAUGAAGAAAUAGUUUUUUUAAAAGUUCUAUCCAGGGCUUCCCUGGUGGUUCAGUGGUUAAGAAUCUGCCUGCCAAUGCAGAGGACACAGGUUUGAUGCCUGGUCUGGGAGGAUCCCACAUGCCACUAAGCCCAUGUGCCACAACUACUGAAGCUGGCACACACUAGAGC